GCUUUUAAAGGAUAGAAGUAUCCGUUAGUCUUAGGAACUAAAAAAUUGGUGCAACUCCAAAUAAAAGUA
RNAcentral lists this transfer RNA (69 nucleotides) under Fukomys anselli (Ansell's mole-rat). Its description in RNAcentral is "tRNA-Leu". Lineage: Eukaryota; Metazoa; Chordata; Mammalia; Rodentia; Bathyergidae. The record is from RNAcentral. RNAcentral also lists the same sequence under 1 other name.